RNAcentral lists this long non-coding RNA (2554 nucleotides) under Salmo salar (Atlantic salmon). Its description in RNAcentral is "lncRNA (ENSSSAG00000103278.1)". Lineage: Eukaryota; Metazoa; Chordata; Actinopteri; Salmoniformes; Salmonidae. The record is from RNAcentral.
GGAGAGGUCGGGUUGAAACAUUACUGAUGUUUCACGUUAAAAAUGGCUCUAAAGAUUGAUGCUAAACAACGUUUGACAUGUUUGAACAAUGUAAAUAGAUUAUUUUUUUUACUUUUCGCCGUGACUCCCCCCGCGCUACUUUUUAGUAGCCUACCGAGCGCUAACAACUUGGAGUUAUUGGGACAUCAAUUAUGAACUUUGUUGAAAGAAACCACAUUUGCAGUGGACCUGGGAUGCGUGGAAUUGCCAAUAGAUGAAGAGAAUCAAAGCCCUAGGACCAUGCCUCAGGACUACCUGGCUUGAUGACUCCUUGCUGUCCCCAGUUCACCUGGCCGUGCUGCUGCUCCAGUUCCAACUGUUCUGCCUGCAGCUAUGGAACCCUGACCUGUUCACCGGACGUGCUACCUGUCCCAGACCUGUUGUCCCAGACCUGCUGGAAACCCGACCUAUUCACCGGAUGUGCUACAUGUCCCAGACCUGCUGUUUUCAACUCUCUAGAGACAGCAGGAGUGGUAGAGAUACUCUCAAAGAUCGGCUAUGAAAAAGCCAACUGACACUUACUCUUGUGUUACUGACUUGUUGCACCCUCGACAACUACUAUGAUUAUUAUUAUUUGACAAUGCUGGUCAUUUAUGAACAUUUGAACAUCUAGGCCAUGUGCUGUUAUAAUCUCCACCCGGCACAGCCAGAAGAGGACUGGUUCCUCUCUAGGUUUCUUCCUAGGUUUGGCCUUUCUAGGGAGUUUUUCCUAGCCACCGUGCUUCUACACCUGCAUUGCUUGCUGUUUGGGGUUUUAGGCUGGGUUUCUGUACAGCACUUUGUGAUAUCAGCUGAUGUAAGAAGGGCUAUAUAAAUACAUUUGAUUUUAUUUAUUUGAUUUGGUGUCUCCACGUGGCCACACACCUCUCCAAAGUGUGCGCAGUUCCUAAGUAAAUUCAUUGCACUUUUAUUACUCAAAGAAGGUGUUUUUUUGAGCUCUCCUAGCUGUGCCGUUGAGGGACUAGAGAAAGCACACUUGUAGUUGGUGUUUACGCAAUAAAAAAAUGACCCAUUAUAAAUCGCAAUCUGGGUCAGGUGGGCAUCAUUUGAAAUAGAAACCAAUCUCAGUAGAAAGGAGUCAUGCGUACAUUCAGGUGCACGUUCCGCAACAAAUUAUCUUCACAAUAGACAAACAUAGGCUCAUUCUGUUCAGAACAACCCAGGGUGUGAGUCCAUGUCAUCUUGUAACUCUACAUUUGCAUUUUCGUCAUUUUGCAGACGUUGUUAUCCAGAGCAAUUUACAUGAGCAAUUAGGAUUAAGUGCGUUGGCUGGGUGGUUACUCAAAAACUGUCAUUGUUUUGCUGAGAUUGAAGAGAGUUGACAAAGUGUAGGGUGUUGACGAGUUUGUGUAUACUCUUUACUAUACUAUCAAUCUGUGAACCCCUUUGAAUAAAAUGGCUGGCGUGAAGAUGAAUGUUUAAAGGAAGGGCUGGUACUUGGCUUUGGCUUGAGACAGAGCAUGUCUUAAAGAAUAGCCAUUUAUAAAAUAGGGCAGGGACCCUUGGGAAGUACUGUGUGUUAUUUUGGGAGAAUACAUCCAAAUGGGAGUGCUACUGGUACAGCAAGGGCAUGGAGAGACAGCUCUAAGUGUGAAAUUGGCACCUGGUAUACAUAGAAGACAUCUUUCUUUUGACAUGUAAUGGCCAACAUCUUGUUUACAGAGACCACAAAAGACAAAGACAACAAAAUACACACGUUGGUUAAUACAGUGUUAUUUGUUUCUUUUUUUGGUGACCAAAUGUUUAAUUAUUUGUCAUUUUUUAUUAGGGGGGGUUGUUACAGGUACAAUCUUAAAAUAUAUGUAUUUUCAUAUAUUCAGUCCAUAUCACAUUUUCAUGUAUUAUUUUCCAUAUAUAUAUAUUUCUGUUGUACCUUUGGCCUGCCACUCAGGAAAAAAAAGAAGAGAAUAUAUAUAUUCUAGGUCUGAUGGGGAUGGAUGCGUUUUCUCAAUUGGAUUUGCUCAACUGCUGCGUCCUCUCUAUUCUAUCUUUUCUUUGCUUCCUUUUGAAGAAGGUCAAAAGUCAUCAAGGAAAGGCGGUGAGGAGAGGGAACAUAGACAUAAUGCGCUUGUAUGCAAUGAGACUUCCUUCUCCACUCGAGCGUCAUCAGGUAUAUUACGUUUACAGCGGUGGUACCCAAAAUAAAUGUGUAAACUGAUCAAAUGAAUUAAGUUAGUUGUGCAAGACAUUUUAUAGAUAAAACCUAUAUGCUACUUAUCGUUUUAAAUGUGUGCAUGCUUUUCUCCUUCGACAAAACAAAAGCUAAUUCAAAUGGGGUGUGGCAGAUUUCAAAAUUCUUCCACAAAGGACUCAGGUAGGAUACACAUUACUAGCCUCGAUGAAAGGUGGCUAUCAAGUAGGGGAGGACACUGUUCCAUUCGUCUACCAACGAAUUGAAAUCGCCUCGACCACUUAUCGGUUUCCGUGUCACGGUGGAGAGAGGACAGAGGAGAGAGGACGGAGGACAGACUUUUGCCCAAAUGAGAAAAGGCCGGAGUCUGCCCUACCCCGCUUC